RNAcentral lists this ribosomal RNA (433 nucleotides) under Staphylococcus pseudintermedius. RNAcentral's name for it is "bacterial SSU rRNA". It matches the Rfam family "Bacterial small subunit ribosomal RNA", at positions 1 to 423 of the family's 1533-position model. Lineage: Bacteria; Bacillati; Bacillota; Bacilli; Caryophanales; Staphylococcaceae. The record is from RNAcentral.
UUUAUGGAGAGUUUGAUCCUGGCUCAGGAUGAACGCUGGCGGCGUGCCUAAUACAUGCAAGUCGAGCGAACAGAUAAGGAGCUUGCUCCUUUGACGUUAGCGGCGGACGGGUGAGUAACACGUGGGUAACCUACCUAUAAGACUGGAAUAACUCCGGGAAACCGGGGCUAAUGCCGGAUAACAUGUUGAACCGCAUGGUUCUACAGUGAAAGACGGUCUUGCUGUCACUUAUAGAUGGACCCGCGCCGUAUUAGCUAGUUGGUGGGGUAACGGCCUACCAAGGCGACGAUACGUAGCCGACCUGAGAGGGUGAUCGGCCACACUGGAACUGAGACACGGUCCAGACUCCUACGGGAGGCAGCAGUAGGGAAUCUUCCGCAAUGGGCGAAAGCCUGACGGAGCAACGCCGCGUGAGUGAUGAAGGUCUUCGGAU